GACGAACGCUGGCGGCGUGCUUAACACAUGCAAGUCGAACGAUGAAGCCCAGCUUGCUGGGUGGAUUAGUGGCGAACGGGUGAGUAACACGUGGGCAACCUGCCCCAAACUCUGGGAUAACUCCUCGAAAGAGGUGCUAAUACCGGAUACGAACUAGACAGACAUCUGUACUAGUUGGAAAGUUUUUCGGUUUGGGAUGGGCCCGCGGCCUAUCAGCUUGUUGGUGAGGUAACGGCUCACCAAGGCUACGACGGGUAACCGGCCUGAGAGGGCAACCGGUCACACUGGGACUGAGACACGGCCCAGACUCCUACGGGAGGCAGCAGUGGGGAAUAUUGCGCAUUGGGCGAAAGCCUGACGCAGCGACGCCGCGUGAGGGAUGAAGGUCUUCGGAUCGUAAACCUCUUUCAGUAGGGACGAAGCGAAAGUGACGGUACCUAAAGAAGAAGCACCGGCUAACUACGUGCCAGCCGCCGCCGUAA
This 482-nucleotide ribosomal RNA is filed under the name uncultured bacterium. RNAcentral describes it as "partial 16S ribosomal RNA". It matches the Rfam family "Bacterial small subunit ribosomal RNA", at positions 28 to 523 of the family's 1533-position model. The record is from RNAcentral.